Molecule: ribosomal RNA, 253 nt
Filed under: uncultured bacterium
Lineage: Bacteria
Description: partial 16S ribosomal RNA
Rfam family: Bacterial small subunit ribosomal RNA
Source: RNAcentral
UACAGAGGUCUCAAGCGUUGUUCGGAUUCAUUGGGCGUAAAGGGUGCGUAGGCGGCGCGGUAAGUCGGGUGUGAAAUCUCGGAGCUUAACUCCGAAACUGCAUUCGAUACUGCCGUGCUUGAGGACUGGAGAGGAGACUGGAAUUUACGGUGUAGCGGUGAAAUGCGUAGAUAUCGGAAGGAAGACCAGUGGCGAAGGCGGGUCUCUGGACAGUUCCUGACGCUGAGGCACGAAGGCCAGGGGAGCAAACGGG